GGGAUAACACUGACGCUCAUGUACGAAAGCGUGGGUAGCAAACAGGAUUAGAUACCCUGGUAGUCCACGCCCUAAACGAUGUCAACUGGUUGUUGGGGGAGUGAAAUCCCUUAGUAACGGAGCUAACGCGUGAAGUUGACCGCCUGGGGAGUACGGUCGCAAGAUUAAAACUCAAAGGAAUUGACGGGGACCCGCACAAGCGGUGGAUGAUGUGGAUUAAUUCGAUGCAACGCGAAAAACCUUACCUACCCUUGACAUGUCCGGAAUCCUGAAGAGAUUUGGGAGUGCUCGAAAGAGAACCGGAACACAGGUGCUGCAUGGCUGUCGUCAGCUCGUGUCGUGAGAUGUUGGGUUAAGUCCCGCAACGAGCGCAACCCUUAUCAUUAGUUGCUACGCAAGGGCACUCUAAUGAGACUGCCGGUGACAAACCGGAGGAAGGUGGGGAUGACGUCAAGUCCUCAUGGCCCUUAUGGGUAGGGCUUCACACGUCAUACAAUGGUCGGUACAGAGGGUUGCCAAGCCGCGAGGUGGAGCCAAUCCCAGAAAGCCGAUCGUAGUCCGGAUUGUUCUCUGCAACUCGAGAGCAUGAAGUCGGAAUCGCUAGUAAUCGCGGAUCAGCAUGUCGCGGUGAAUACGUUCCCGGGUCUUGUACACACCGCCCGUCACACCAUGGGAGUGGAAUCUGGCAGAAGUAGGUAGCCUAACCGCAAGGGGGGCGCUUACCACGCUGGGUUUCAUGACUGGGGUGAAGUCGUAACAAGGUAACCGUA
RNAcentral lists this ribosomal RNA (770 nucleotides) under uncultured bacterium. Its description in RNAcentral is "bacterial SSU rRNA". It matches the Rfam family "Bacterial small subunit ribosomal RNA", at positions 731 to 1504 of the family's 1533-position model. The record is from RNAcentral.